This 447-nucleotide ribosomal RNA is filed under the name Rothia sp. oral taxon 188. Its description in RNAcentral is "bacterial SSU rRNA". It matches the Rfam family "Bacterial small subunit ribosomal RNA", at positions 28 to 479 of the family's 1533-position model. The record is from RNAcentral. Lineage: Bacteria; Bacillati; Actinomycetota; Actinomycetes; Micrococcales; Micrococcaceae.
GACGAACGCUGGCGGCGUGCUUAACACAUGCAAGUCGAACGAUGAAGCGGUGCUUGCACCGUGGAUUAGUGGCGAACGGGUGAGUAAUACGUGAGUGACCUACCUUUGACUCUGGGAUAAGCCUGGGAAACUGGGUCUAAUACCGGAUACGACCAAUCUCUGCAUGGGGUGUUGGUGGAAAGCGUUAUGGAGUGGUUUUAGAUGGGCUCACGGCCUAUCAGCUUGUUGGUGAGGUAAUGGCUUACCAAGGCGACGACGGGUAGCCGGCCUGAGAGGGUGACCGUCCACACUGGGACUGAGACACGGCCCAGACUUCCUACGGGAGGCAGCAGUGGGGAAUAUUGCACAAUGGGCGCAAGCCUGAUGCAGACGACGCCGCGUGAGGGAUGACGGCCUUCGAGGUUGUAAACCUCUGUUAGCAUCGAAGAAUGCGAAAGUGACGGUAUG